UGUAGAGUUUGAUCCUGGCUCAGAUUGAACGCUGGCGGCAUGCCUUACACAUGCAAGUCGAACGGUA
RNAcentral lists this ribosomal RNA (67 nucleotides) under Thalassiosira oceanica. RNAcentral describes it as "partial Bacterial small subunit ribosomal RNA". The record is from RNAcentral. Lineage: Eukaryota; Bacillariophyta; Thalassiosirophyceae; Thalassiosirales; Thalassiosiraceae.